CAGGGAACAGCCCGCAGAGUGCCAACGGGCCAAAGCGCCACUCUGGAUACCAACCUUAGAUCAGGUCCCCCAAAGCAGACCCCAAAUGAGGAUCCAUGUGCGCGACGCAGGAGCCUGACAGGGAACCGAGAGG
Molecule: long non-coding RNA, 133 nt
Organism: Lutra lutra (Eurasian river otter)
Lineage: Eukaryota; Metazoa; Chordata; Mammalia; Carnivora; Mustelidae
Exons: 3
Source: RefSeq, a predicted model, not a curated record